AAGCGGAUCUCUUAAAGCCGUCUCAGUUCGGACUGUAGGCUGCAACUCGCCUACACGAAGCUGGAAUCGCUAGUAAUCGCGGAUCAGCACGCCGCGGUGAAUACGUUCCCGGGCCUUGUACACACCGCCCGUCACACCAUGAGAGUCUGUAACACCCAAAGCCGGUGGGAUAACCUUUAUAGGAGUCAGCCGUCUAAGGUAGGACAGAUGAUUAGGGUGAAGUCGUAACAAGGUAAC
RNAcentral lists this ribosomal RNA (237 nucleotides) under uncultured bacterium. RNAcentral describes it as "partial 16S ribosomal RNA". It matches the Rfam family "Bacterial small subunit ribosomal RNA", at positions 1265 to 1500 of the family's 1533-position model. The record is from RNAcentral.